UUCUAGGGACUCACGAGUAUUUACAGGCAGGUAAUGGUUGCUAGGGGAGGGAAAGGCGUAGUGGUGUGCCACUGAUAAGUGAUCCACACUCCUGAAAGAAACCAAAGGAAUCGGUUGGGGCUCCCGCACCCCAGGCCGCCCACCAGCUUUCAGAGGACAAAGACGUUCUUGAACAGCCUAACAGAAGAGGGGCGCAGACUUCAGCAGAUUACAAAUUAAAAGCAUUCUGGCAGACCUGAGUCACAGACGGAUAAUGACCUCUGUCAGUGAGCACUCCCAUCAAGGUAGAGAGACAGCCCACCCUGAGCAACUGAGGAGAGUGUAUUACAGGCUCCUUGACCUGUGGAUUUGGGGCCAACUUUGCUGUCUCCACCUCCCGUCCCAAAGGAGGAGUCCUGGGAUUACAGACAA
This is a long non-coding RNA of Onychomys torridus (southern grasshopper mouse), 411 nucleotides long. RefSeq lists it as uncharacterized. The record is from RefSeq and is a predicted model, not a curated record. Lineage: Eukaryota; Metazoa; Chordata; Mammalia; Rodentia; Cricetidae. The transcript is spliced from 4 exons.